CUAGUAAUCGCGGAUCAGCAUGCCGCGGUGAAUACGUUCCCGGGCCUUGUACACACCGCCCGUCACACCAUGAGAGUCGAUAACACCCGAAGCCUGUAGUCUAACCGCAAGGAGGACGCAGUCGAAGGUGGGAUUGAUAAUUAGGGUGAAGUCGUAACAAGGUAGC
This 166-nucleotide ribosomal RNA is filed under the name uncultured bacterium. RNAcentral's name for it is "partial 16S ribosomal RNA". It matches the Rfam family "Bacterial small subunit ribosomal RNA", at positions 1335 to 1500 of the family's 1533-position model. The record is from RNAcentral.